This 73-nucleotide transfer RNA is filed under the name Yersinia enterocolitica (type O:5,27) str. YE149/02. RNAcentral's name for it is "transfer RNA-Ala". Lineage: Bacteria; Pseudomonadati; Pseudomonadota; Gammaproteobacteria; Enterobacterales; Yersiniaceae. The record is from RNAcentral.
AACACGAACAACCACAUUUGUGGGGCUAUAGCUCAGCUGGGAGAGCGCUUGCAUGGCAUGCAAGAGGUCGACG